AUCAACCCGUCCUACAGAGACUUUACAGGGCCUGGUCCUGCGUAUGUCUGUGGCAUGAUUCUCCUGUGACCAGACCAUCACUCUGUAUUCCAGAUCACUCCAGCCUCGUAUUUACCAAACACCACCCAUGUGUCAGGCAUUGCACCAAAGGCCAGUAACAGAGGAGUAGCAGACACGGCUGGUGCCCUGCUCGUGACUUCUGGCAUCCAUUGCUGCAGUCCUUCUGAUGCUGUCCUACGAAGCUCCAUAACUCUCUGCCCCAGGGUUUUCUACCCGGCGCCCAGAGCAGAAGGUUAGUUGAUGCCAUGGACCUGCCAGCCGUGGACCUGCCUUAGAGAAUUUGGUCUGCUGGUACGAGCUGGACGCCGCAGAGCAGUGAGGGGGUAGUGGGCAGAGCUCUUGCGCUCAUGUUUACCACUGCGUGCCUGAUGUGCAGCACUUUGGCAGGGAGACCAGGUGAAAGAAAGAAGGUGACAUCUACUACCAACCCAGUGCUGGAAAUUUCUUGUUCUCCGCUUUAUCAAAUACAUGAUAAUGAAACACCAUAAUCUCAGGAUCAAGGAAAGGCUACCUUGACUGAACAAAAGGAAGACAACUAGAGGUUUGCAAUUCACAUUCUGAAUCACCACUCCCAGAAAGAAUGUAUUCUCUGUCUCUGACAUUCCCAGACCCAUUUUGUGCCCACCUCUGUCAUUUCUUUGUGCUCGCCUCUUUCUGGGUUGUAUGUAGGUUUUUGCCUUUCCUGUUGGUAUUUGUGAUCAAAUAACUUGGGAUAUUUAUGCUUAAACAGCAAGAUAUUCCCAAGAACAACUGUGGUUCGAUAUUUUCCAUAGAACUAAUA
This is a long non-coding RNA of Odocoileus virginianus texanus, 841 nucleotides long. RefSeq lists it as uncharacterized. The record is from RefSeq and is a predicted model, not a curated record. Lineage: Eukaryota; Metazoa; Chordata; Mammalia; Artiodactyla; Cervidae.